CACAGGUGGGUGAGGAGAAUAUCCUAAGGCGCUCGAAAGAACCCACGUUAAGGAACUCGGCAAAUUAACUCCGUAACUUCGGGAGAAGGAGUGCUCUGGUAGGGUGACUGGACUGCGUUUAAUUAUGCAUGCGAAAGGUAGCCCGAGAGAGUCGCAGAGAAUAGGCUCAGGCGACUGUUUAUCAAAAACACAGGACUCUGCUAACGCGUAUAGCCGACGUAUAGGGUCUGACGCCUGCCCAAUGCUGGAAGGUUACGGGGAGGGGUUAGGAGUGGUAACAUUCCGAAGCUCUGAACUUAAGCCCCAGUGAAUGGCGGCCGUAACUAUAACGGUCCUAAGGUAGCGAAAUCCCUUGUCAGGUAAGUUCUGACCCGCAUGAAUGGCGUAACGGUCUGAGCACUGUCUCAACGUGGGGUUCGGCGAAACUGUGCACCGGGUGAAGACGCCCGGUAUCCGCAUCAGGACAAAAAGACCCCGUGGAGCUUUACUGUAGCUUGAUAUUGGAUUUUGGCCUGUUAUGUAGAGCAUAGGUGGGAGACUAUGAAGUUAGGGCGCCAGCCUUGGCGGAGUCGACAAUGGAAUACCACCCUUAUCAGUCUGGAAUUCUAACCUUGGCCCGUGAUCCGGGUUGGGGACAGUGUCAGGUGGGCAGUUUGACUGGGGCGGUCGCCUCCUAAAGAGUAACGGAGGCGUUCAAAGGUUCCCUCAGCGUGAUUGGAAACCACGCGCAGAGUGUAAAGGCAAAAGGGAGCUUGACUGUGAGGCAAACAAGCCGAUCAGGGACGAAAGUCGGACUUAGUGAUCCGGUGGUACCGAAUGGAAGGGCCAUCGCUCAACGGAUAAAAGCUACCCCGGGGAUAACAGGCUUAUCUCUCCCAAGAGUUCAUAUCGACGGGGAGGUUUGGCACCUCGAUGUCGGCUCAUCGCAUCCUGGGGCUGGAGUAGGUCCCAAGGGUUGGGCUGUUCGCCCAUUAAAGCGGUACGCGAGCUGGGUUCAGAACGUCGUGAGACAGUUCGGUCCCUAUCUGUCGUGGGCGCAGGAGAUUUGAGGGGAGUCGUCCCUAGUACGAGAGGACCGGGAUGAACAGACCUCUGGUGUAUCAGUUGUCGUGCCAACGGCACCGCUGGAUAGCUACGUCUGGAUGUGAUAACUGCUGAAAGCAUCUAAGCGGGAAGCACACCCCGAGAUGAGAUCUCCCACCAGGUAACUGGGUAAGACCCCUGGUAGACCACCAGGUUGAUAGGCUGGAUGUGUAAGGGCAGCAAUGUCUUCAGCAGACCAGUACUAAUCGGUCGAGGUCUUGACUUU
RNAcentral lists this ribosomal RNA (1309 nucleotides) under bioreactor metagenome. Its description in RNAcentral is "bacterial LSU rRNA". It matches the Rfam family "Bacterial large subunit ribosomal RNA", at positions 1658 to 2925 of the family's 2925-position model. The record is from RNAcentral.